This 1363-nucleotide long non-coding RNA is filed under the name Phaseolus vulgaris (common bean). RNAcentral describes it as "long non-coding RNA (PVUL_LNC001090)". Lineage: Eukaryota; Viridiplantae; Streptophyta; Magnoliopsida; Fabales; Fabaceae. The record is from RNAcentral.
UGCAUUUUAUAAAAAAGAUAGUAAAAUUUAUUUAAGCAUUUAUAAGGACUAUUCUUUCAAAUAAAACUUGUAAAAUUUUGAUAUGAAUUAUUUAAGAAUGAUAUGACAUAAUUAAUCCGUUGAAAGUAAAAUAAAAAGUGGAGAGUAUUGUUUAUGAGAAUUUUAGAUGCUCUUAGUCAUGAUAAUUUAUUAAAUGUAAAUUUUCUUGCUUGAGAUAUAAAAUUUAUGCAAUGUGACUCAUGUCUCAAACUAAAAAGGAGUGAAGAACACCAAAUUUAAAGUUAAAAGAGAAAAAAAAGGGAAAGGUUGAAGAUAUGGAUUGAUAUGUGAUGAAGAUCAACAACACAUCUCGAAGCACUCCAUGCAGCAGCACAAUUCCAGACAACAGAGGCACCCCAACGCUCCAAGGCUACAACAUAACAAAAAUCAACACAAAUAAAUAUAAACAAAUUAAACACAAUUGCUUAUAUAUCUUUUCCAAUAUAUAUAAAUAAAUACAAAUUUUACUUGAUAAGACAGUUUUAUAAAAUUAAAUUAAAUUUAAAUUUAUUUAUUAAUAAAGAAAAAAAAUAAAAGAUUAAAGUAAAAAUAAAUUAAAAUUAAAAUAGAGGUAAUUUAACACUUACACUCAAUUGAUUUGUAAAUGUAACUAUAUAUAAAAUUAUUAUUUUAUAAUAAAACCAACACUACAAGAAAAUCAUGAAAUAGACUAAUUUUACAGACAACAAAUAAUUAGUUGUUAUAAUUACUAAAUUUUUUAUUAAAUACAAUAUAUUACAAUUAACUAUUUAUUUAACAAAAUAUAACGUUAAAUUAAAUUCUUAAAAUCUCAUAAUAAUUUGUAUUAUUUGGCUAUCAAGACAAUAUAACUGUUAUGUACAAUGAUUAAUAGAUGAAAUUGCGUCCAAAUAGCCAUUAUAUUACUUUAAAUAAUUGGCUCAGUUCACUUGCACAGUCUCCUUCUCCUCUACUUCACGAACAUGACUGAGGGUUUAGAAUAAAAUUAAAAAGAUAUUUAAAGGGGUAUUCUAAUCCGUGUACAACAGUCACAAAGUUACAUUUCCCAAAAAAAUAUAACCAAAAGCCUAAACCUGCAAAAGGGAAUGCCAAACCCAAACCAGCACUUAUGAAAGAACCAAACAGUAACAAUAAAAAUAACAGCACCCAAAACCCAACUGCACUCCAAAGAACAGCACAGCAACACCUAAAAAACCUAACACCAGUUUUCCAAGCUGCUCCCACGGCACCCUUCUAAUCACACCCUCUCCACUUGAAUCUUCAUUCCUUCACCGACCCUCCCCUACACAUACAUAUUAUAGCAGUCCAACCAGCCACCAGUCCACCUUUACACCAAUCAGCAAUU